UACGUAGGGUGCGAGCGUUGUCCGGAAUUACUGGGCGUAAAGAGCUCGUAGGUGGUUUGUCGCGUUGUCCGUGAAAACUCACAACUCAAUUGUGGGCGUGCGGGCGAUACGGGCAGACUGGAGUACUGCAGGGGAGACUGGAAUUCCUGGUGUAGCGGUGGAAUGCGUAGAGAUCCGGAGGAACACCGACGGCGCAGGCAGCGUCCUGGCCGCUUGCUGACACUGAGGCACGAAAGCUGGGGGAGCAAACAGG
Molecule: ribosomal RNA, 253 nt
Filed under: uncultured bacterium
Lineage: Bacteria
Description: partial 16S ribosomal RNA
Rfam family: Bacterial small subunit ribosomal RNA
Source: RNAcentral